GUAGGAGCUGCCGCAGGCUGCGAUCUUUUGAUCUUGAUCUUAAAACAAGAUCAAAAGAUCGCAGCCUGCGGCAGCUCCUAC
Molecule: unclassified non-coding RNA, 81 nt
Filed under: Pseudomonas koreensis
Lineage: Bacteria; Pseudomonadati; Pseudomonadota; Gammaproteobacteria; Pseudomonadales; Pseudomonadaceae
Source: RNAcentral